CCGAACAGUCGCGUAUAAAAUUCGCAAGGAUUUAUAUGAGGAAAGUCCGGGCUCCAUAGAGCAAGGAUGCUGGAUAACGUCCAGUGAGGGAAACCUUAAGGAAAGUGCAACAGAAAAUAACAGCCCUAUUUGGGCAAUGGUGAAAAGGCGAGGUAAGAGCUCACCGCCAACUUGGAGACAAGUUUGGGACAAUGUAAACCCCAUCCGGAGCAACACCUAAAUACAGAAGGAAAAGACGGCUCGUCAUCUUCUAAACUGGUGGCUUGAAAUAUAUAGCAAUAUAUAUUCUAGAUAAAUGACUGUUCAAGACAGAACCCGGCUUAUAGAUAUGCUUU
RNAcentral lists this RNase P RNA (335 nucleotides) under human gut metagenome. RNAcentral's name for it is "Bacterial RNase P class A". It matches the Rfam family "Bacterial RNase P class A". From Rfam's summary of the family: Ribonuclease P (RNase P) is a ubiquitous endoribonuclease, found in archaea, bacteria and eukarya as well as chloroplasts and mitochondria. Its best characterised activity is the generation of mature 5'-ends of tRNAs by cleaving the 5'-leader elements of precursor-tRNAs. The record is from RNAcentral.